CCCUUAGAUGUCCUGGGCCGCACGCGCGCCACACUGAACGGAUCAGCGCGUUUUCCCUUCCCGAGAGGGACGGGUAACCUGCUGAACCCCGUUCGUGGUAGGGAUCGGGGCUUGCAAUUAUUCCCCGUGAACCAGGAAUGCCCAGUAAGUGCAAGUCAUAAGCUUGCGUUGAUUACGUCCCUGCCCUUUGUACACACCGCCCGUCGCUACUACCGAUUGAACGUUUUAGUGAGGUACUCGGACUGAGCCUCAGAAGAUUCACGUCUUUUGUGCUGCUCGGGAAGAUUCCCAAACUUGAGCGUUUAGAGGAAGUAAAAGUCGUANCA
Molecule: ribosomal RNA, 326 nt
Filed under: uncultured eukaryote
Lineage: Eukaryota
Description: partial 18S ribosomal RNA
Rfam family: Eukaryotic small subunit ribosomal RNA
Source: RNAcentral